AAAUGAACAAAAGCCCCAAACGGUUUUACUUAAGGGAUUUUGUAAGGUCGAAAGGAUUUAUUUAAGAACAGAAUAGUUUUCUUUUUAGUUGGCCCAUAUAUGAUUGACUUUUGGAUUGUAUAACUGUGAGGUAGGGAGAUUCAAGUACAAGAAAGAGGAACCAUUAGCUGAGUGGGGUGGAUUGAGCUGGAGCAGAGGCAAGGCCAGUUUGGGGAGAGAGGAAAAAGGAGACCAGGGGUGGCAGGCUUUGGGCUGAGGGAGAAGCAGAGGAAAAGAACACAUCAGAAGAAAGGGACCUAACAGACCAGGAAGAGCCAGAGUUGGAGAAAAAGCAAAUGGCUAAUGAGACACCCACGAGAAUGCAGCUUUCAGAGAAGAAACUCAGUCGAGAUUUGCACACCCUGGACGAGGAAGAGAAGCAGAGAUGUUAUUUGGAGCUGGAUGUUAUUCCUUGCUCAAAGGGGAAAAAAAAAUUCUGUUUCAUGAAUGGAUGCCACGCAAGCACCCUUGAUCUUCAAUGAACAGGAUGUCAUGUGAUUCUGCAAACUGUUUCAGAACCAUUCACGCUUCCGUCUAGAAUGUUCCCAGAGAGGGAAAAAAAAAAAAAAAACAGUGCAGGGUGGAGGUUCCUGAGAAAUCCCCGACUUAGCACAAGUUCAUUUUUGUGAUGGGUUUAGAAAUCCAGUUAAUCUUUAAGUCAUUUCCAAGGCAGAACUGUAAUUUUGUCUAUUAAAAAUAUAGAAAAACAAAACAAGACAAAACCACUCCCUCUGUCCCUCAAAAUGUGUUUAUAAACGGCAUCAUGUGAAAAUCCAACUUGGAAAGAAUUCGAGUUUGACUUUAAACUGUUUGUUCACAAGCUCAUGGUUCUUGGAUUCAUUAACUCUUAUUUAUAAACUUAAGGUUGUUUUGGAACAGGAAGCAUAACAUUUACUAAAAAGAACAUUGAAAUGUAUUUGUCUUUUUAAUUAAAAAAAUACUAAGAAAUGAAGUCUGCAGAACACAAAAUCUUAAUAUUGCAGUAGGAUUUUCCCUCAUUAAAAAAUAUAUAUCAAACCAUUGUCUGAUUGAAACUAAACACAGUUAAACAUAUAUAGAUAUAAAUUAUAUAAUUUACAUUUAUUAUCCUUAAUCCAGGUACACAUGCAAACACAUUUGUAUAUAUAAAUUAUGUAUGAAAUACUCAUAGCUAAAAUUUAUGUGGCUAUAUUUGAAACUGUGACAUCAGAGAUAGGCUUAAAACAUGUUUAAUUACAUUACCAGCGUGUAUAAUCAGAGUUAGAACUACUGAUAGAUUUUGCUGACAAGAAUUAUGGAAAGUAGCAGCUAAUUCAGGAUUGUUCUAUUACAGAUAUUACAGGGGAAGCAAGUCUGGGAAGUGCAUUUAGAUUCCCAUAUCACUCACUUUUUGUGGGAAUUUUGUUAUUAAAAGGAAGCAUCAUUCUGAGACAAUUUAGGCAAGUAAAUUAUAGAAUAAAAUAGUCAUCGUUUUGGAUAAAUUCUUGUGA
RNAcentral lists this long non-coding RNA (1508 nucleotides) under Bos indicus x Bos taurus (hybrid cattle). RNAcentral's name for it is "lncRNA (ENSBIXG00000010479.1)". The record is from RNAcentral. Lineage: Eukaryota; Metazoa; Chordata; Mammalia; Artiodactyla; Bovidae.